This 252-nucleotide ribosomal RNA is filed under the name uncultured bacterium. Its description in RNAcentral is "partial 16S ribosomal RNA". It matches the Rfam family "Bacterial small subunit ribosomal RNA", at positions 524 to 776 of the family's 1533-position model. The record is from RNAcentral.
GACGGAAGGUGCAAGCGUUGCUCGGAAUCACUGGGCGUAAAGGGUGCGUAGGCGGCUUGGUAAGUUGGGUGUGAAAGCCCCGGGCUCAGCCCGGGAAGGGCACUCGAAACUGCCGAGCUGGAGUGCCGGAGGGGAGAGUGGAAUUCCUGGUGUAGCGGUGAAAUGCGUAGAUAUCAGGAGGAAUACCGGUGGCGAAAGCGACUCUCUGGACGGUACUGACGCUGAGACGCGAAAGCGUGGGGAGCGAACAGG